AGUCGAACGAGGUAGCUUCGGUGUAGCAAUAUAUCGGAGCUUCUAGUGGCGCACGGGUGAGUAACACGUGGGCAACCUGCCCUCGAGCUCGGGAUACCCUCUCGAAAGGGAGGCUAAUACCGGAUACGUUCUUCGGAUCGCAAGGUCUGGAGAGGAAAGGUGGCGAAAGCUGCCGCUCUUGGAGGGGCUCGCGGCCUAUCAGCUAGUUGGUGAGGUCAUGGCUCACCAAGGCGAUGACGGGUAGCUGGUCUGAGAGGACGACCAGCCACACGGGAACUGAGACACGGUCCCGACUCCUACGGGAGGCAGCAGUGGGGAAUUUUCCGCAAUGGGCGAAAGCCUGACGGAGUGACGCCGCGUGGGGGACGAAGGCCUUCGGGUCGUAAACCCCUGUCAGAGGGAAAGAAGGUCGGCGCGGUGAAUAGCCGCGUCGAUUGACGGUACCUUCAGAGGAAGCCCCGGCCAACUCUGUGCCAGCAGCCGCGGUAAGACAGAGGGGGCAAGCGUUGCUCGGAAUCACUGGGCGUAAAGGGCGCGUAGGCGGGAUGGCAAGUCGGUCGUGAAAUCCCUGGGCUCAACUCAGGGGGGUCGGCCGAUACUGCCGUUCUUGAGGGAUGCAGAGGAGACUGGAAUUCCCGGUGUAGCGGUGAAAUGUGUAAAGAUCGGGAGGAACACCGGUGGCGAAGGCGGGUCUCUGGGCAUUCCCUGACGCUUAAGCGCGAAAGCGUGGGGAGCAAACGGGAUUAAAUACCCCGGUAGUCCACGCGGUAAACGAUGACGACUAGUGU
This 788-nucleotide ribosomal RNA is filed under the name uncultured Pseudomonadota bacterium. RNAcentral's name for it is "bacterial SSU rRNA". It matches the Rfam family "Bacterial small subunit ribosomal RNA", at positions 60 to 822 of the family's 1533-position model. The record is from RNAcentral. Lineage: Bacteria; Pseudomonadati; Pseudomonadota.